CAGUCGCCGCGGUAAAACGAAGGGUGCAAGCGUUAAUCGGAAUUACUGGGCGUAAAGCGUGUGUAGGUGGUUGUUUAAGUCUGUCGUGAAAGCCCUGGGCUCAACCUGGGAAUUGCAGUGGAUACUGGGUCACUAGAGUGUGGUAGAGGAUAGUGGAAUUUCCGGUGUAGCAGUGAAAUGCGUAGAGAUCGGAAGGAACAUCUGUGGCGAAGGCGACUAUCUGGGCCAACACUGACACUGAGGCAUGAAAGCGUGGGGAGCAAACAGGAUUAGAUACCCCCGUAGUCCCUGUCUCUUAUAC
RNAcentral lists this ribosomal RNA (301 nucleotides) under uncultured bacterium. RNAcentral's name for it is "partial 16S ribosomal RNA". It matches the Rfam family "Bacterial small subunit ribosomal RNA", at positions 509 to 807 of the family's 1533-position model. The record is from RNAcentral.